RNAcentral lists this ribosomal RNA (460 nucleotides) under uncultured bacterium. RNAcentral describes it as "partial 16S ribosomal RNA". It matches the Rfam family "Bacterial small subunit ribosomal RNA", at positions 338 to 795 of the family's 1533-position model. The record is from RNAcentral.
CCUACGGGAGGCAGCAGUGAGGAAUAUUGGUCAAUGGACGAGAGUCUGAACCAGCCAAGUAGCGUGAAGGAUGACUGCCCUAUGGGUUGUAAACUUCUUUUAUAAAGGAAUAAAACGAGGCACGUGUGCCUUUUUGCAUGUACUUUAUGAAUAAGGAUCGGCUAACUCCGUGCCAGCAGCCGCGGUAAUACGGAGGAUCCGAGCGUUAUCCGGAUUUAUUGGGUUUAAAGGGAGCGUAGAUGGGUUGUUAAGUCAGUUGUGAAAGGUUGCGGCUCAACCGUAAAAUUGCAAUUGUUACUGGCAGUCUUGAGUACAGUUGAGGUAGGCGGAAUUCGUGGUGUAGCGGUGAAAUGCUUAGAUAUCACGAAGAACCCCGAUUGCGAAGGCAGCUUACUAAACUGUGACUGACAUUGAUGCUCGAAAGUGUGGGUAUCAAACAGGAUUAGAUACCCCAGUAGUC